UAGAAGAUAGUAUAUGUGGAAGUACUGAAAGUUUUGGGCUUUCAGGUCUAAGUUCGAUUCUUGGUCUUCUA
This 71-nucleotide transfer RNA is filed under the name Eunectes notaeus (yellow anaconda). RNAcentral's name for it is "transfer RNA-Gln". The record is from RNAcentral. Lineage: Eukaryota; Metazoa; Chordata; Lepidosauria; Squamata; Boidae.